This 446-nucleotide ribosomal RNA is filed under the name uncultured bacterium. Its description in RNAcentral is "partial 16S ribosomal RNA". It matches the Rfam family "Bacterial small subunit ribosomal RNA", at positions 338 to 795 of the family's 1533-position model. The record is from RNAcentral.
CCUACGGGUGGCAGCAGUGGGGGAUAUUGCACAAUGGGGGAAACCCUGAUGCAGCGACGCCGCGUGUGGGAAGACGGUCCUCUGGAUUGUAAACCCCUGUCAUGUGGGAGCAAAUUAAAAAGAUAGUACCACAAGAGGAAGAGACGGCUAACUCUGUGCCAGCAGCCGCGGUAAUACAGAGGUCUCAAGCGUUGUUCGGAAUCACUGGGCGUAAAGCGUGCGUAGGCUGUUUCGUAAGUCGUGUGUGAAAGGCGCGGGCUCAACCCGCGGACGGCACAUGAUACUGCGAGACUAGAGUAAUGGAGGGGGAACCGGAAUUCUCGGUGUAGCAGUGAAAUGCGUAGAUAUCGAGAGGAACACUCGUGGCGAAGGCGGGUUCCUGGACAUUAACUGACGCUGAGGCACGAAGGCCAGGGGAGCGAAAGGGAUUAGAUACCCUAGUAGUC